UAGAGUUUGAUCCUGGCUCAGGAUGAACGCUAGCGGCAGGCUUAACACAUGCAAGUCGAGGGGUAACAGAAUAGCUUGCUAUUGCUGACGACCGGCGCACGGGUGCGUAACGCGUAUACAACUCGCCUUAUACAGGAGAAUAGCCCAGAGAAAUUUGGAUUAAUGCUCCAUAGUAUCAAGCCCUCGCAUGAGGAUUUGAUUAAAGCUCCGGCGGUAUAAGAUAGGUAUGCGUUAGAUUAGCUAGUUGGUAAGGUAAUGGCUUACCAAGGCAACGAUCUAUAGGGGGCCUGAGAGGGUGAUCCCCCACACUGGUACUGAGACACGGACCAGACUCCUACGGGAGGCAGCAGUGAGGAAUAUUGGUCAAUGGACGUAAGUCUGAACCUGCCAUGCCGCGUGCAGGAAGACGGCCUUAUGGGUUGUAAACUGCUUUUAUAUAGGAAGAAACCUAUCUACGUGUAGAUAGCUGACGGUACUAUAAGAAUAAGGACCGGCUAACUCCGUGCCAGCAGCCGCGGUAAUACGGAGGGUCCAAGCGUUAUCCGGAUUCAUUGGGUUUAAAGGGUCCGUAGGCGGUUUAUUAAGUCAGUGGUGAAAUCGUGUGGCUCAACCAUGCAACUGCCAUUGAAACUGAUAAACUUGAGAUAGAUUGAAGUUGGCGGAAUAUAACAAGUAGCGGUGAAAUGCAUAGAUAUGUUAUAGAACACCAAUUGCGAAGGCAGCUGACUAAGUCUUAUCUGACGCUGAGGGACGAAAGCGUAGGUAGCGAACAGGAUUAGAUACCCUGGUAGUCUACGCAGUAAACGAUGAUCACUCGUUGCUGGGCAAUUGAGCUCAGUGACCAAGCGAAAGUGUUAAGUGAUCCACCUGGGGAGUACGCUCGCAAGAGUGAAACUCAAAGGAAUUGACGGGGGCCCGCACAAGCGGUGGAGCAUGUGGUUUAAUUCGAUGAUACGCGAGGAACCUUACCAGGGCUUAAAUGUGGUCUGACAGCUUUAGAGAUAGAGUUUUCUUCGGACAGAUCACAAGGUGCUGCAUGGUUGUCGUCAGCUCGUGCCGUGAGGUGUUAGGUUAAGUCCUGCAACGAGCGCAACCCCUAUUAUUAGUUGCUAACAGGUUAAGCUGAGGACUCUAAUAAGACUGCCGGUGCAAACCGCGAGGAAGGUGGGGAUGGCGUCAAAUCAUCACGGCCCUUACGUCCUGGGCUACACACGUGCUACAAUGGCAGGUACAGAGGGCAGCUACCCCGCGAGGGGAUGCGAAUCUUCAAAGCCUGUCUCAGUUCGGAUCGCAGUCUGCAACUCGACUGCGUGAAGCUGGAAUCGCUAGUAAUCGGAUAUCAGCCAUGAUCCGGUGAAUACGUUCCCGGGCCUUGUACACACCGCCCGUCAAGCCAUGGAAGCUGGGGGUACCUGAAGUCGGUGACCGCAAGGAGCUGCCUAGGGUAAAACUGGUAACUGGGGCUAAGUCGUAACAAGGUAACCGUA
Molecule: ribosomal RNA, 1487 nt
Filed under: uncultured bacterium
Lineage: Bacteria
Description: bacterial SSU rRNA
Rfam family: Bacterial small subunit ribosomal RNA
Source: RNAcentral